UAGUCCACGCCGUAAACGAUGUCUACUAGCUGUUUGUGAUCUUGUAUCGUGAGUAGCGCAGCUAACGCACUAAGUAGACCGCCUGGGGAGUACGGCCGCGAGGUUAAAAUUCAAAUGAAUUGACGGGGGCCCGCACAAGCGGUGGAGCAUGUGGUUUAAUUCGAUGCAACGCGAAGAACCUUACCAUCCCUUGACAUACUGAGAACUUUCUAGAGAUAGAUUGGUGCCUUCGGGAACUCAGAUACAGGUGCUGCAUGGCUGCCGUCAGCUCGUGUCGUGAGAUGUUGGGUUAAGUCCCGCAACGAGCGCAACCCUUAUCCUUAUUUGCCAGCACGUAAUGGUGGGAACUCUAAGGAGACUGCCGGUGAUAAACCGGAGGAAGGUGGGGACGACGUCAAGUCAUCAUGGCCCUUACGGGAUGGGCUACACACGUGCUACAAUGGCGCAUACAAAGGGCAGCGAACCUGCGAGGGUAAGCGAAUCUCAUAAAGUGCGUCGUAGUCC
This 504-nucleotide ribosomal RNA is filed under the name uncultured bacterium. RNAcentral's name for it is "bacterial SSU rRNA". It matches the Rfam family "Bacterial small subunit ribosomal RNA", at positions 791 to 1294 of the family's 1533-position model. The record is from RNAcentral.